Molecule: ribosomal RNA, 501 nt
Filed under: uncultured bacterium
Lineage: Bacteria
Description: partial 16S ribosomal RNA
Rfam family: Bacterial small subunit ribosomal RNA
Source: RNAcentral
AUUGAACGCUGGCGGCAUGCCUUACACAUGCAAGUCGAACGGCAGCACGGGUGCUUGCACCUGGUGGCGAGUGGCGAACGGGUGAGUAAUACAUCGGAACGUACCUUAUCGUGGGGGAUAACGCAGCGAAAGUUGCGCUAAUACCGCAUACGCCCUGAGGGGGAAAGCGGGGGACCGUAAGGCCUCGCGCGAUUAGAGCGGCGGAUGUCUGAUUAGCUUGUUGGUGAGGUAAAAGCUCACCAAGGCGAUGAUCAGUAGCGGGUCUGAGAGGACGAUCAGCCACACUGGGACUGAGACACGGCCCAGACUCCUACGGGAGGCAGCAGUGGGGAAUUUUGGACAAUGGGGGCAACCCUGAUCCAGCAAUGCCGCGUGAGUGAAGAAGGCCUUCGGGUUGUAAAGCUCUUUUGUCAGGGAAGAAACAGCAGCUCUAACACAGUCUGCGAAUGACGGUACCUGAAGAAUAAGCACCGGCUAACUACGUGCCAGCCGCCGCAGUAA